Molecule: non-coding RNA, 22 nt
Filed under: Rattus norvegicus (Norway rat)
Lineage: Eukaryota; Metazoa; Chordata; Mammalia; Rodentia; Muridae
Source: RNAcentral
UGGCCAAAGAACUUGGAAGCCU